UAGGGAAUCUUCGGCAAUGGACGAAAGUCUGACCGAGCAACGCCGCGUGAGUGAAGAAGGUUUUCGGAUCGUAAAACUCUGUUGUUAGAGAAGAACAAGGACGUUAGUAACUGAACGUCCCCUGACGGUAUCUAACCAGAAAGCCACGGCUAACUACGUGCCAGCAGCCGCGGUAAUACGUAGGUGGCAAGCGUUGUCCGGAUUUAUUGGGCGUAAAGCGAGCGCAGGCGGUUUCUUAAGUCUGAUGUGAAAGCCCCCGGCUCAACCGGGGAGGGUUAUUGGAAACUGGAAGACUUGAGUGCAGAAGAGGAGGGUGGAAUUCCAUGGGUAGCGGUGAAAUGCGUAAAUAUGUGGAAGAACACCAGUGGCGGAGGCCGCUUUCUGGUCUGUAACUGACGCUGGGGGUCGAAAGCGUGGGGAGCAAACAGG
RNAcentral lists this ribosomal RNA (429 nucleotides) under Gemmatimonadota bacterium. Its description in RNAcentral is "Gemmatimonadetes bacterium partial 16S ribosomal RNA". It matches the Rfam family "Bacterial small subunit ribosomal RNA", at positions 355 to 776 of the family's 1533-position model. The record is from RNAcentral. Lineage: Bacteria; Pseudomonadati; Gemmatimonadota.